This 274-nucleotide ribosomal RNA is filed under the name uncultured archaeon. Its description in RNAcentral is "partial 16S ribosomal RNA". It matches the Rfam family "Archaeal small subunit ribosomal RNA", at positions 474 to 747 of the family's 1478-position model. The record is from RNAcentral.
CACCGGCAGCUCAAGUGGUGGCCGUUUUUAUUGGGCCUAAAGCGUUCGUAGCCGGCCUGAUAAGUCUCUGGUGAAAUCCCAUAGCUUAACUGUGGGAAUUGCUGGAGAUACUAUCAGGCUUGAGAUCGGGAGAGGUUAGGGGUACUCCCAGGGUAGGGGUGAAAUCCUAUAAUCCUGGGAGGACCACCUGUGGCGAAGGCGCCUAACUGGAACGAAUCUGACGGUGAGUAACGAAAGCCAGGGGCGCGAACCGGAUUAGAUACCCGCGUAGUCC